This 461-nucleotide ribosomal RNA is filed under the name uncultured bacterium. RNAcentral describes it as "bacterial SSU rRNA". It matches the Rfam family "Bacterial small subunit ribosomal RNA", at positions 917 to 1382 of the family's 1533-position model. The record is from RNAcentral.
GGACCCGCACAAGCGGUGGAUGAUGUGGAUUAAUUCGAUGCAACGCGAAAAACCUUACCUACCCUUGACAUGGCAGGAACCUUGGAGAGAUCUGAGGGUGCUCGAAAGAGAACCUGCACACAGGUGCUGCAUGGCUGUCGUCAGCUCGUGUCGUGAGAUGUUGGGUUAAGUCCCGCAACGAGCGCAACCCUUGUCAUUAGUUGCUACGCAAGAGCACUCUAAUGAGACUGCCGGUGACAAACCGGAGGAAGGUGGGGAUGACGUCAAGUCCUCAUGGCCCUUAUGGGUAGGGCUUCACACGUCAUACAAUGGUACAUACAGAGGGCCGCCAACCCGCGAGGGGGAGCUAAUCCCAGAAAGUGUAUCGUAGUCCGGAUUGUAGUCUGCAACUCGACUACAUGAAGUUGGAAUCGCUAGUAAUCGCGGAUCAGCAUGUCGCGGUGAAUACGUUCCCGGGUCUU